This 368-nucleotide ribosomal RNA is filed under the name uncultured organism. RNAcentral describes it as "bacterial SSU rRNA". It matches the Rfam family "Bacterial small subunit ribosomal RNA", at positions 526 to 896 of the family's 1533-position model. The record is from RNAcentral.
CGGAGGGUGCAAGCGUUGUCCGGAUUUAUUGGGUUUAAAGGGUGCGUAGGCGGCCCGUUAAGUCAGUGGUGAAAGCCUCCAGCUCAACUGGAGAACUGCCAUUGAUGCUGGCGGGCUUGAGUACAGACGAGGUUGGCGGAAUUGAUUGUGUAGCGGUGAAAUGCAUAGAUACAAUCAAGAACACCGAUUGCGUAGGCAGCUAACUAGGCUGUAACUGACGCUGAGGCACGAAAGCGUGGGGAGCGAACAGGAUUAGAUACCCUGGUAGUCCACGCUGUAAACGAUGAUUACUCGAUGUCGGCGAUAAACUGUCGGCGUCUUAGCGAAAGCGUUAAGUAAUCCACCUGGGGUGUACGCCCGCAAGGGUG